AUACGGAAGGUGCGAGCGUUAUCCGGAUUCAUUGGGUUUAAAGGGAGCGUAGGCGGAGCGCCAAGUCAGCUGUGCAAUCCCGCGGCUCAACCGUGGAACUGCAGUUGAAACUGCCGCCCUUGAGUGCACAUGAGGAUGGCGGAAUUCGUGGUGUAGCGGUGAAAUGCUUAGAUAUCACGAAGAACCCCGAUUGCGAAGGCAGCUGUCUGGGGUGCCACUGACGCUGAGGCUCGAAAGUGCGGGUAUCAAACAGGAUUAGAUACCCUGGUAGUCCGCACAGUAAACGAUGGACACUCGUGGUCGGCGACACACUGCCGGUCACCAAGCGAAAGCGAUAAGUGUCCCACCUGGGGAGUACGCCGGCAACGGUGAAACUCAAAUGAAUUGACGGGG
Molecule: ribosomal RNA, 393 nt
Filed under: uncultured bacterium
Lineage: Bacteria
Description: partial 16S ribosomal RNA
Rfam family: Bacterial small subunit ribosomal RNA
Source: RNAcentral